CGCCUAAACGAAUGAACCGAUUUUAAUUUAGUUUUUUUUUGAUUUUUUUUAGAUAAAUAAUAUUAUUGUUUUAGCUCUAUACUGUACCACAAUUUAGAUUGAAAAUGUUGUAAUAAUUUACAUUCCAUUGUGAUAUGGUAAGGUUUUGUUAAUGAUAAUACAAGAUACUAUUUAUGAAUUCAUUAUUAAAUUGUUUGUUUGUGGAAUAAAUAUUGUAAUGGGUUGAAUUAAAAUCUGAAAAAUAAAGAUUGAUUUCAAUACAAUUAAGAGAUAGAUUUGUUUAUAUUUUUUAGGACAAUGAUCUGUUUGGAUUUAUUUAUUGGACUCUUUGAUUAUUAUUAUUAUUAUUACCUAUUAUUCUUUGACCCUGUGUUUGAAAUGUAAAACAUGUUUUGUUUUUAUUUUCAUAAUUUACCUGCAUACCAACAUUUUAUAAAUUGGAUUAUUAUAGAAAAUACGUAUUUUUGUUGUUUGAUUCAAAGCUGAUUUAAGCUACUAUAAACUAUUAAGUUGAAUUUCUUAAAAAGUCAUCUGAAAUUGUUAUGUGAUUGGCAAAAAACACUGUUCCUUUGUAAGUUUUUCGUUAUGUGCGUAAUUAAGCCUCUAUCGCCCUAGAAUACGACAGUUACUGACUUGGUCUGUAAAUAUGCAUGUAGAAAGUUAGUACAGUUUAAGAACUAAUAUGAUUGUAUAUUUUGACAUAUUAUCAACUCAGAUUUCUUUUUUAUUAAACUUAAUUGUCAUGUAUUAGAAUAAUAGGUCUAUUGUUGUACAUUCCGUACAUACAUUUUCUUUUAAAACACUUUUUAAAAUAUCAAUAAUUUAAAGUUAAGACUUAUAGACUUCACUAUUAUGUUAAUUGUGCUUCCCAUAGGAUGAUUUGUUGAUUGAGUUAAUAAGUUUAUCUUUUUUUUGUAAGUAACGCAAAUAUCAACGUUUGUUACGUUCCUGUAUGUAUGUGUGAAAAUGGACAGUAUAAUGUUUAGUUUAUUUUGGGGAAUAGAAUAUUAUGAUACCUACUGUAAAUAUAAUAGUGAUUGAUUUAGAAACGUAAUUAUUAGAUAGUGACGUUAUUAGUUAUUGUUUUGUGUAAUAUAUAAUGAAUAUUAUAUUGAAAGUUUAAUACUG
Maniola jurtina (meadow brown) is the source of this 1128-nucleotide long non-coding RNA. RefSeq lists it as uncharacterized. The transcript is spliced from 2 exons. NCBI's taxonomy places the organism in Eukaryota, Metazoa, Arthropoda, Insecta, Lepidoptera, Nymphalidae. The record is from RefSeq and is a predicted model, not a curated record.